AGCCGCGUGUGUAAGAAGGCCUUAUGGUUGUAAAGCACUUAAGCGAGGAGGAGGCUACUUAGUUAAUACCUAGAGAUAGUGGACGUUACUCGCAGAAUAAGCACCGGCUAACUCUGUGCCAGCAGCCGCGGUAAUACAGAGGGUGCAAGCGUUAAUCGGAUUUACUGGGCGUAAAGCGCGCGUAGGCGGCUAAUUAAGUCAAAUGUGAAAUCCCCGAGCUUAACUUGGGAAUUGCAUUCGAUACUGGUUAGCUAGAGUGUGGGAGAGGAUGGUAGAAUUCCAGGUGUAGCGGUGAAAUGCGUAGAGAUCUGGAGGAAUACCGAUGGCGAGGGCAGCCAUCUGGCCUAACACUGACGCUGAGGUGCGAAAGCAUGGGGAGCAAACAGGAUUAGAUACCCUGGUAGUCCAUGCCGUAAACGAUGUCUACUAGCCGUUGGGGCCUUUGAGGCUUUAGUGGCGCAGCUAACGCGAUAAGUAGACCGCCUGGGGAGUACGGUCGCAAGACUAAAACUCAAAUGAAUUGACGGGGGCCCGCACAAGCGGUGGAGCAUGUGGUUUAAUUCGAUGCAACGCGAAGAACCUUACCUGGCCUUGACAUAGUAAGAACUUUCCAGAGAUGGAUUGGUGCCUUCGGGAACUUACCUACAGGUGCUUGCUGGUUGUCGUCACUUCGUGUCGUGAGAUGUGGGGUAAGUCCCGCAGGAGGGANACUUUUCUUAUUGCCGGGGUAAGUCGGACUUAGGGUUGGCCUGCAAUGGGAGGGGGGAACCAUUCAGGGCUUGGGGGGGUAC
RNAcentral lists this ribosomal RNA (791 nucleotides) under uncultured bacterium. Its description in RNAcentral is "bacterial SSU rRNA". It matches the Rfam family "Bacterial small subunit ribosomal RNA", at positions 395 to 1146 of the family's 1533-position model. The record is from RNAcentral.